Dendronephthya gigantea is the source of this 300-nucleotide long non-coding RNA. RefSeq lists it as uncharacterized. The transcript has 3 exons. NCBI's taxonomy places the organism in Eukaryota, Metazoa, Cnidaria, Anthozoa, Malacalcyonacea, Nephtheidae. The record is from RefSeq and is a predicted model, not a curated record.
GAUUUACAUGAAUUGCUCUUUCCUGGUUUACUUCUAACUGUAAUUGGUGGAGGAUUUUUUACGGUAGUUUUAGUAAAGGUUUGUGGUGUUCUUCCUCAACGACGUUUUAUGGCUGUCAGUAUUAUAAAUGGAGCAAUUGAUUCAUCAGCAGUUGUCCUUCUUGUAUUCAAGUUGUGUUUCAACGCUGGGGUUUCGUUUAAAAUCAUAAUCAUCGUUUACUAUGUCUUUGUCGUUGGUCAAGGCAUGUUGUUCACGUUUACGAUAUUUCCUAAAGAUCUGCCGGAUGACAUUGAAGAACAU